RNAcentral lists this long non-coding RNA (98 nucleotides) under Microtus ochrogaster (prairie vole). RNAcentral's name for it is "MEST intronic transcript 1, antisense RNA conserved region 3 (ENSMOCG00000008939.1)". It matches the Rfam family "MEST intronic transcript 1, antisense RNA conserved region 3". The record is from RNAcentral. Lineage: Eukaryota; Metazoa; Chordata; Mammalia; Rodentia; Cricetidae.
CGUGUAGACUGUACCCGGUCUUCAGAAUGAGAUCUUUUGUGAGGCAUUCAGUCCAUUAAUUAGAAAAUUGCCUUCAUCUUAGAUGCUGGUGUUUCGGC